GACGUGCUAAUCUGCGAUAAGCGUCGGUAAGGUGAUAUGAACCGUUAUAACCGGCGAUUUCCGAAUGGGGAAACCCAGUGUGAUUCGUCACACUAUCAUUAACUGAAUCCAUAGGUUAAUGAGGCGAACCGGGGGAACUGAAACAUCUAAGUACCCCGAGGAAAAGAAAUCAACCGAGAUUCCCCCAGUAGCGGCGAGCGAACGGGGAGCAGCCCAGAGCCUGAAUCAGUGUGUGUGUUAGUGGAAGCGUCUGGAAAGGCGUGCGAUACAGGGUGACAGCCCCGUACACAAAAAUGCACAUACUGUGAGCUCGAUGAGUAGGGCGGGACACGUGGUAUCCUGUCUGAAUAUGGGGGGACCAUCCUCCAAGGCUAAAUACUCCUGACUGACCGAUAGUGAACCAGUACCGUGAGGGAAAGGCGAAAAGAACCCCGGCGAGGGGAGUGAAAAAGAACCUGAAACCGUGUACGUACAAGCAGUGGGAGCACGCUUAGGCGUGUGACUGCGUACCUUUUGUAUAAUGGGUCAGCGACUUAUAUUCUGUAGCAAGGUUAACCGAAUAGGGGAGCCGAAGGGAAACCGAGUCUUAACUGGGCGUUAAGUUGCAGGGUAUAGACCCGAAACCCGGUGAUCUAGCCAUGGGCAGGUUGAAGGUUGGGUAACACUAACUGGAGGACCGAACCGACUAAUGUUGAAAAAUUAGCGGAUGACUUGUGGCUGGGGGUGAAAGGCCAAUCAAACCGGGAGAUAGCUGGUUCUCCCCGAAAGCUAUUUAGGUAGCGCCUCGUGAAUUCAUCUCCGGGGGUAGAGCACUGUUUCGGCAAGGGGGUCAUCCCGACUUACCAACCCGAUGCAAACUGCGAAUACCGGAGAAUGUUAUCACGGGAGACACACGGCGGGUGCUAACGUCCGUCGUGAAGAGGGAAACAACCCAGACCGCCAGCUAAGGUCCCAAAGUCAUGGUUAAGUGGGAAACGAUGUGGGAAGGCCCAGACAGCCAGGAUGUUGGCUUAGAAGCAGCCAUCAUUUAAAGAAAGCGUAAUAGCUCACUGGUCGAGUCGGCCUGCGCGGAAGAUGUAACGGGGCUAAACCAUGCACCGAAGCUGCGGCAGCGACGCUUAUGCGUUGUUGGGUAGGGGAGCGUUCUGUAAGCCUGUGAAGGUGUGCUGUGAGGUAUGCUGGAGGUAUCAGAAGUGCGAAUGCUGACAUAAGUAACGAUAAAGCGGGUGAAAAGCCCGCUCGCCGGAAG
This 1249-nucleotide ribosomal RNA is filed under the name Shigella flexneri. Its description in RNAcentral is "partial 23S ribosomal RNA". It matches the Rfam family "Bacterial large subunit ribosomal RNA", at positions 55 to 1343 of the family's 2925-position model. The record is from RNAcentral. Lineage: Bacteria; Pseudomonadati; Pseudomonadota; Gammaproteobacteria; Enterobacterales; Enterobacteriaceae.